Ramaria rubella is the source of this 82-nucleotide non-coding RNA. The record is from the annotation of a GenBank genome assembly. NCBI's taxonomy places the organism in Eukaryota, Fungi, Basidiomycota, Agaricomycetes, Gomphales, Gomphaceae.
UCCACGAUGGUGUAAUGGCUAACAUCGCUGUCUUUCAGGUAUUUCUUCACAGCAGCUCGGGGUUCGAUUCCCCGUCGUGGAA